Molecule: long non-coding RNA, 510 nt
Organism: Eptesicus fuscus (big brown bat)
Lineage: Eukaryota; Metazoa; Chordata; Mammalia; Chiroptera; Vespertilionidae
Exons: 3
Source: RefSeq, a predicted model, not a curated record
GAGAGAAAAAUAAAAUAUUUUACUUGGAUGGCAAAACUGAAGGAAAGAAGACAAAACACACAUGAGAAUAAGAGAGUCAAACUUUCCUCAAAAGUGUUGAAAUCAGAAGUAAAAGGAGGAGGAAUCCUGGACAAUUUGAUACUUCAGCUUGCGAUGCUUAGUCACUGGGGCUGGAUUCCGGAUGCUGCUAGCAAGCACAACCUCCUCCUCCGCCUUGCUGCAGCCACCACAGUCCCCAGAGGAUCUAGAGUCCCUGCUUCUUGCACUACUACUUCUGGAUUCAAAGCCUAGGCAGAUGUCUCCGAUGAAUGAGGCACUCCUGAUGAGGAAGUCCCCAGAUGUGGUAAAGACGGUCACAUGCUGGGCAGCCACAGGAACGACAAAUGGUCAUCUGUCCAGCACUCAUUUGGCAGCAAAACCUGACUGAACUGAUAUGAAGCACCUAGUUUAUAAAAGUAAUUUUUAAAUAUAAUAUAUGAUUAUAACUAAAUUAUAAUUUUAGUUAUUCCA